This 468-nucleotide ribosomal RNA is filed under the name uncultured bacterium. RNAcentral's name for it is "partial 16S ribosomal RNA". It matches the Rfam family "Bacterial small subunit ribosomal RNA", at positions 28 to 507 of the family's 1533-position model. The record is from RNAcentral.
GAUGAACGCUGGCGGCGUGCUUAACACAUGCAAGUCGAACGGAAAGGCCCAAGCUUGCUUGGGUACUCGAGUGGCGAACGGGUGAGUAACACGUGGGUGAUCUGCCCUGCACUUCGGGAUAAGCCUGGGAAACUGGGUCUAAUACCGGAUAGGACGAUGGUUUGGAUGCCAUUGUGGAAAGUUUUUUCGGUGUGGGAUGAGCUCGCGGCCUAUCAGCUUGUUGGUGGGGUAAUGGCCUACCAAGGCGUCGACGGGUAGCCGGCCUGAGAGGGUGUACGGCCACAUUGGGACUGAGAUACGGCCCAGACUCCUAAGGGAGGCAGAAGUGGGGAAUAUUGCACAAUGGGCGCCAGCCUGAUGCAGCGACGCCGCGUGGGGGAUGACGGCCUUCGGGUUGUAAACUCCUUUCGCUAGGGACGAAGCGUUUUUGUGACGGUACCUGGAGAAGAAGCACCGGCUAACUACGUG